RNAcentral lists this ribosomal RNA (489 nucleotides) under uncultured bacterium. RNAcentral's name for it is "partial 16S ribosomal RNA". It matches the Rfam family "Bacterial small subunit ribosomal RNA", at positions 30 to 506 of the family's 1533-position model. The record is from RNAcentral.
AUUGAACGCUGGCGGCAGGCCUAACACAUGCAAGUCGAAUGGUAACAGGAAACAGCUUGCUGUUUCGCUGACGAGUGGCGGACGGGUGAGUAAUGUCUGGGAAACUGCCUGAUGGAGGGGGAUAACUACUGGAAACGGUAGCUAAUACCGCAUAACGUCGCAAGACCAAAGAGGGGGACCUUCGGGCCUCUUGCCAUCAGAUGUGCCCAGAUGGGAUUAGCUAGUAGGUGGGGUAACGGCUCACCUAGGCGCCGAUCCCUAGCUGGUCUGAGAGGAUGACCAGCCCCACUGGACCUGGGAAACGGUCCAGCCUCCUACGGGAGGCAGAGGUGGGGAAUAUUGCAAAAUGGGCGCAAGCCUGAUGCAGCCAUGCCGCGUGUAUGAAGAAGGCCUUCGGGUUGUAAAGUACUUUCAGCGGGGAGGAAGGGAGUAAAGUUAAUACCUUUGCUCAUUGACGUUACCCGCAGAAGAAACACCGGCGAACUCCGU